This 124-nucleotide microRNA precursor is filed under the name Prunus dulcis (almond). RNAcentral's name for it is "sRNA ncRNA". Lineage: Eukaryota; Viridiplantae; Streptophyta; Magnoliopsida; Rosales; Rosaceae. The record is from RNAcentral.
UGUAAGGGGAGGAUGGGAGGGAAGAGUAACAAAAGUGAAAAUAAGAACUAAAAACUGAAAUCUAUUUAGUUCUUGUUUUCACUUUUAUUACUCCUCCCUCCUAUCCUCCCCUUUUAUCCUCUCU